RNAcentral lists this transfer RNA (72 nucleotides) under Bos taurus (domestic cattle). It matches the Rfam family "tRNA". From Rfam's summary of the family: Transfer RNA (tRNA) molecules are approximately 80 nucleotides in length. Their secondary structure includes four short double-helical elements and three loops (D, anti-codon, and T loops). The record is from Rfam by way of RNAcentral. Lineage: Eukaryota; Metazoa; Chordata; Mammalia; Artiodactyla; Bovidae. RNAcentral also lists the same sequence under 4 other names.
UUCCUGGUGGCUCAGAUGGUAAAGCGUCUGCCUACAAUGCAGGAGACCCAGGUUCUAUUCCUGGGCUGGGAA